AUGCAAGUAGAACUUACAGUCCUUUUAGAAAUUAGAAUCACUAGGAAUUUCCAACUGCAACGCUUUGCAAAAACCUCUUUUUAAAUGAACAACAUUUGAAAAAGAGUAGUUUGAACACUUGUAGAGAGAAAUCAGUUUGUAUGCGUGCUGCUUGAUUUGUUUCAAAAUAACGUUGCUGCCUCUUAUGUAGAAAAAAUAUAUAGUCAUUGAAGGAAAUCUUCUAAGCUAAAAUCAUGCAAAGAGUAUUUCAAUCAAAUACCAUGAAUCAAGAAAGUUAAAAUUAAAUUCAAAUCCUGUCAAGGCUAUUUUUAUGAGAAAUAAUUUUUCCCUAAAUACUUGCCAAAUUUGUUUUUCAAGAAUAAUCACUUAAAUAAAGUUUUUAAACAUGAAAAAAAAAUUUGGGGGCUCGAAGAUGAUCAGAUACCGUCCUAGUCUCAACCAUAAACGAUGAUGACCAGGGAUUAGUGGACGUUACUUAUAGGACUCCGCUGGCACCUUAUGAGAAAUUAACAUUUUUGGGUUCCGGGGGGAGUAUUGUUGCAAGGCUGAAACUUAAAGGAAUUGACAGAAAGGCACCACUAGGAGUGGAGCUUGUGGCUUAAUUUGACUCAACAAAGGGAAACUUACUAGGUUUAGACAUGGUAAGGAUUGAUAGAUUGAGAGCUCUUUCUUGAUUCUAUGGGUGGUGGUGCAUGGCCGUUCUUAGUUGGUAGAGUGAUUUGUCUAGUUAAUUCCAUUAAUAAACGAUACCUCAGCCUAUUAACUGGCUACAUAGAGGUACCCCUCCAUGGAUAACUUCUUAGAGGGACUAAGGCCAAUUAGGCCACGGAAGUUCGUGGGAAUAAUAGGUCUAUGAUGCCUUUAAAUGUUUUGGGCCGCACGCGUGCUACCCUGAUGUAUUCAACGAGUUUAUAGCCUUGGCCAUCAAGUCCGGGUAAUCUUUGAAAUUUCAUCGUGAUGGGGAUAGAUCAUUGCAAUUGUUGGUCUUCAACGAGGUAUUCCUAGUAAGCGCGACUCAUUAUCUCGCGUUGACUACGUCCCUGCCUUUUGUACACAUGGCCCGUUGCUCCUACCGAUUGAAUGGUCCGGUGAAGUGUUCGGAUCAAGGCGACGUAGGCGGUUCAUUGCCGACAACGUUGUGAGAAGUCCACUGAACCUUAUCAUUUAAAGGAAAGAGAAGACGUAACAAGAUUUCUGUAGGUGAACCUAUGGGCA
RNAcentral lists this ribosomal RNA (1215 nucleotides) under Santalum album (white sandalwood). Its description in RNAcentral is "SSU rRNA". It matches the Rfam family "Eukaryotic small subunit ribosomal RNA". Lineage: Eukaryota; Viridiplantae; Streptophyta; Magnoliopsida; Santalales; Santalaceae. The record is from RNAcentral.